CAUGUUCAACUUUCUUUCUUUUCUUCAAAUUGUUUUGGUCAUCUUCUACAAUAUGUGCUCCAUUAAUUGUAGAAUUCCCUUUUGACCUUCUCUCGGCAGCUUUAUUGUCCUCUUCAAUACGCAGUCGGACAAUAAGAUCUUCGACAGUCAUCUCCUUGCGUUUAUGCUUUAAGUAGUUUUUGAAGUCUUUCCACAAAGGUGGUAGCU
RNAcentral lists this long non-coding RNA (207 nucleotides) under Capsicum annuum. Its description in RNAcentral is "long non-coding RNA (CANN_LNC022448)". Lineage: Eukaryota; Viridiplantae; Streptophyta; Magnoliopsida; Solanales; Solanaceae. The record is from RNAcentral.